UUGGCGUCGUUCCUUUCUCAGAGUUCUCUCUCCUCAUCACACCACAGCACUUGUCUGGAAACGUGUCCUUGGAGUUUGUGUUGGGCCUGGAACUGCUCUGCCCUGCAGUGUAGACUUGGGGCAUCAGAGGGACUGGAUGUAUAGCAGAGAUAAACAGAAGAGGCUGGAGGAGCACAGUCAGAAGAUGCAGAGCCACCGGCCCAGCAGACGAUAGGCACUAGAGGGAAGGUGAGCCUGGUGAGGAAGGCAGUGCACCGACUUCUGACGUACAGUCCAGUGUGAUGGGGACCCUGCCUGAGAUGUAGACAGCCUGACAGGGCUGAAGCCAACUCACAGUGAGGUG
Molecule: long non-coding RNA, 343 nt
Organism: Manacus vitellinus (golden-collared manakin)
Lineage: Eukaryota; Metazoa; Chordata; Aves; Passeriformes; Pipridae
Exons: 5
Source: RefSeq, a predicted model, not a curated record